RNAcentral lists this long non-coding RNA (1410 nucleotides) under Daphnia magna. RNAcentral describes it as "uncharacterized LOC116920051, transcript variant X14". Lineage: Eukaryota; Metazoa; Arthropoda; Branchiopoda; Diplostraca; Daphniidae. The record is from RNAcentral.
GUUGUAGUAUUUUAGUGCAUUGUUCUAUGUUGUUAAAGUGUAGUUAAGCUUGGAUGCGUUUUAAUUUCAAUGGCUAGCUACCAUUUAAAAGGUUACUAUUUUGCUGGGGACAGUUGCUCAACAUUAAUAAAUUUUUUUUAUCUUUAUUUUCUUUCGUUACCAAUGUCCAGUCUUGUUAGAGGAAUGUAUUAAAAAUCACAUGUUAGUCUAAAUUGAUUAACGAUGUAAUAUGUAGUUAUUGCUAUGAGGAGAAAUUUCAUUCCUUAUGCAAUUAAUAUUUAAUUUUGAUAACUGUUAAGCAGGAUGUUGGUGAAGACUUAGGCAUCAUUUCAAGAGAACUUAUUCUGUAAGCAUGUUUUCUGUCCUUGAAGUUGUAACUCAUGGUGCAUAAUUUGUGGCAAGCUUACUACAUGUCACCUACAAGGUUGUCAGAAGGCUUCUGAAGAGAAAUUUUUUUCUCUGGGGUGAAUUCACUAAGAUUGGCUGCCAUCAUGUCAUGGGCAAUCAUUUUUUGACUGUAGUAAGAGCUACUGUGGGUUGCCUCAUUUCAGUGUAGUUUAUAGUAUGGAUGACUGGAUGAUAUGUUUGCAGUGAAACAGAACUUUGCUGCUGAUUUGAGGGUUAAUCCUCCAUUGCACAUGCAUGCUGUAUCAUGUACUUCCUAAUUGGCAAUUUUUGGUUGUGGCAUGAUAUUCAAAUGAAAGAUGUUUCAAGAAACAUUAAACCAAUGCUUCAUAAUCAGGCAGCCUGUUGCCAUGCUGUGGGAUGUUAGCUGAACCUCCUUCAAUGUGAAGGUUACUGUUUAACACUUUCAGAUUUUUCAAUGUGUUUAUUUAGGUAGUCAUUUGUUGAGGGUGAAAUUUGCAUUACUUCAGUGAUUUUGACAUGUUGCAGUGGAUGGCUAGGUUGCAUUGAGCCAAAACUCAUGAUGCUGAUUUGAGGGUUAAUUGAUCAUGCAAGCUGUUUCAUGUGGUUCUUAAUCAGAAAUUCUUGGUUUUGGUAUGAUAUUCAAGUAAACAAGGAGUCUAUUAUGCUGUUUGCCAUUAGCCGAUCCUGUUACAUGUUAAAGGUGUUUGGAGCCAUCUCUAAGUGAAGUUUUCUUUUCAAUUUGGUGAACUGGGGAACAACAUGCUGUACCUGGAAUGAAUCAAUCCCCUGAAACACUCCUAAUACAACCAGAAAAAUGCUAUAAACUGUGAAAGAGGAACAGAAAUUAUUCCUGUUUCUUUGUUGUCCUUAAACUUAUAUUUCUCCAUGUUCAAAUAUUUACAACAACAAAAAUGUUGGUAUUGUUUCUUUGUUUUCUGUGGUCAUGUUUCUUCAUGAUUUGUGAUAAACCAGUUGUGCUUAUGUUUUGGAUUUAACAUACUGAUAAUUGUUAAAUCUUCAAUAAAAAAUAUUGAAAAAUAA